This 117-nucleotide non-coding RNA is filed under the name Nomascus leucogenys (northern white-cheeked gibbon). Lineage: Eukaryota; Metazoa; Chordata; Mammalia; Primates; Hylobatidae. The record is from Rfam by way of RNAcentral.
GCCAGGCAUGGUGGCUCACGCCUGUAAUCCCAGCACUUUGGGAGGCUGAGGCAGGUGGAUCACUUGAGGCCAGGAGUUUGAAACCAGCCUGGCCAACAUGGUGAAAACCUGUCUCUA